UACGGAGGAUGCAAGCGUUAUCCGGAAUGAUUGGGCGUAAAGCGUCCGCAGGUGGCAAUGUAAGUCUGCUGUCAAAGCGUCAGGCUCAACCAGAUAAAGGCAGUGGAAACUACAUAGCUAGAGUAAGGUAGGGGUAGAGGGAAUUCCUGGUGUAGCGGUGAAAUGCGUAGAGAUCAGGAAGAACACCGGUGGCGAAAGCGCUCUGCUGGACCUUAACUGACACUGAGGGACGAAAGCUAGGGGAGCGAAUGGG
RNAcentral lists this ribosomal RNA (253 nucleotides) under uncultured bacterium. Its description in RNAcentral is "partial 16S ribosomal RNA". It matches the Rfam family "Bacterial small subunit ribosomal RNA", at positions 524 to 776 of the family's 1533-position model. The record is from RNAcentral.